GCAAGAUAUCUCGUUCCACAGUUCGCAGCUAACGAUCGCGGUUAGUGAUACGUCGGAAGUCUGUGAUGGAGGUAGAGUUGUCGCGUUGGUGUUGUGGUUAAGCUUGUCGAAGGUUGCCUUGUUUUGCCGUAAUACACAAAACCCGCGUUUUUGCUAAUUGUUGACAGUAUUAUUUACGUACGACGGUGAAGUGAAGGCAUGUGUUUCGUGAACGUUGAUUCUCUCCGGUCGGCGUUUGUUCUUUGUUAUCCUGUAGUACUGCGGUGAAACUAUCAAGCGUUGUUGGAUUAUACGUGUAUGGUUUAAUAUCCAGCUAAACUUAUAUAAACAUGAAGUUGGUAGACCACGUUGUUCGAAGUUUUAAGGUAGCGAAAGUAUUCAGGGAGAAUACAGAUAAGAUAAAUAGCAUUGACUUUUCGCCGAGUGGAGACACAUUGAUUUCCUGCAGCGAGGAUGAUCAAAUUGUGAUAUAUGAUUGUGAAAAAGGGACACAGAUGAGGACAGUCAACAGCAAGAAAUAUGGAGUUGAUCUUAUACAUUUUACGCAUGCAAAAAACACAGCAAUUCACAGUUCCACAAAAGUGGAUGAUACUAUACGAUAUUUAUCCCUUCACGAUAAUAAGUAUAUUCGCUAUUUCCCAGGACAUACAAAGAAAGUUGUCUCGCUCUGCAUAUCCCCUGUUGAAGACACUUUUCUCUCAGGUUCGCUGGACAAAACAUUGCGGUUGUGGGAUCUGAGGUCACCGAAUUGCCAAGGGCUUAUGCAUCUGUCAGGAAGACCAGUUGCAGCAUACGAUCCUGAAGGACUUAUCUUUGCAGCUGGGGUAAACUCAGAACAUAUUAAACUGUACGAUUUGAGAUCAUUCGAUAAAGGUCCUUUCAUAACGUUUAAAUUAAGCCAAGAAAGGGAGUGUGAUUGGACUGGACUAAAAUUUAGUCGUGAUGGGAAAACUAUUCUGAUAUCUACAAAUGGGUCAAUUAUCCGACUGAUUGAUGCCUUCCACGGGACACCGUUGCAGACAUUUACUGGCCAUUUAAACAACAAGGGAAUACCCAUAGAAGCAUCUUUCAGCCCAGACUCGCAGUUUGUCUUCAGUGGGUCGACGGAUGGCAGAGUUCAUGUGUGGAACGCAGAUACUGGGUACAAAGUUUGUGUCCUCAAUGCAGAUCAUCCAGCACCUGUCCAGUGCGUGCAGUUCAACCCCAAGUACAUGAUGCUUGCGUCUGCCUGCACAAAUAUGGCAUUUUGGCUUCCAACUGCAGAAGAAAAUGCUUGAAUCUGUUGUGCACAGUGUCAGUCGAAGAUAACGACGUAUGUAGUGGUGAAUAAUCCCUCCAAAACUACAAUGCAGUAUUCUACUGAAGAGGUUCUGGAAGAAAGUGAUGACCCAAGAGCAUAUUUUGAGGAGACCAUUACCACCAUGGCCACCUGCAGAUGCCUGGGCAUAGCAUAUUUAGGUCGUGAGCAUCUCAUAUAUGAACUGUGCGUGUGCGGCCAGUUGUGUGACGGAAGUGUCGCUGACCUUGCGGCCUGUCUCCGUACAGCAACAAGCACUCCUGUAAUGAUAUCAGCUAACAUCUUCACUGAUAACGAUUGUGAUGAGUGAAGCAUAAAGACAAUGAUUCAAGAAAGAGUUCAGUGUGUGGAAAUGUUUAUUCAGACCAAAUCUGACAUGCAGGUUCAAAGAGCUUCCUAGUAUGAAAUAGGAAGCAGCCAGCCUCAUAAGCAUCGAUAAGCUGGUGAUACAGGAAUUUUAUGUAGACAGGAAUCACUGAUGUGAAGCAUCAUACUGGACCAACUGGAACAAAUGAAGCUGACACGGAAUGGAUAUAGUUGGCUUUUCAACACUCACCGCAAAAGUCUGUUUGGAGGACACUGCAGAUGCUGCAAAUUCCUAGGAUGAUUGUACAACAUGUUCUUUAGAAACAUUUACAGAAGUAUCCAUACUGAGUGCAAUUGUUGGACACACUGAGACCAGACAACAAGCCACAACAUAUGCAGUUUACUGUGCACAUUCUUUGCCAUUUAAAGGAGGAUGGAAAUUUUCUAAACAGCUUUCUGUGGGAUUAUGUCAAGGACAGAAUCUUCCAGAUGCUUGUCAACCACAUCAGUGAUUUAUUGUUGCUGCCACUGCCACGGUUGAUGUGAAUGUGUUGUAGCAGGUGUGGAUAGAGUUUGAAUGCAGACUGGGCAUUGUGUAUAUCACCAAGGCACACAUUGCAAAAUUGACUGAACUGCAUAAAAAUGUUGUGUGCCAUGUAAGCCAAACAUGGUAUAAAUAUGAAACUUCCUGGCAGAUUAAAAUUGUGUGCCGGACCGAGACUCAAACUCGGGACCUUUGCCUUUCACGGGCAAGUGCUCUACCAUCUGAGCUACCCAAGCACAACUCACGCCCCGUCCUCACAGCUUUACUUCUGCCCGUAUAUCGUCUCCUACCUUCCAAACUUUACAGAAGCUCUCCUGCGAACCUUGCAGAACUAGCACUCCUGAAAGACAGGAUACUGCGGAGACAUGGCUUAGCCACAGCCUGGGGGGCGUUAGUCAUGCUUGGCUAGCUCAUUUGGUAGAGCACUUGCCUGCGAAAGGCAAAGGUCCAGAGUUUGAGUCUCAGUCCAGCACACAGUUUUAAUCUGUCAGGAAGUUUCAUAUCAGCGCACAUUCUGCAACAGAGUGAAAAUCUCAUUCUGUGGUGUAAAUAUCUCAAUUAGUUUGAAUGGUGCAACGCAUCAAAGUUGCACCAUAACUUUGAAAUUUCUUUGGCAAUUCAUAUGGUGAUCAUAACUCCAUACAGCACUUGCUGUGACAUAGGAAUUUCUGCUGCCGAACUCAUCCUCUGCAUAUUGCCCAAGGAUUACCUCAAACAAGUAAUAAAAAUGCAAAAUAAAUGUUUCAACAUAUAUCGAAUAUCAUCUACAUGUAAAUGAUAGUUUCUCUGGACCAACCUUGCCCCAUAUAGUUGUUAUUAAAAUUAUAAUAAAAUUAGUUUUAUGC
This is an RNA transcript of Schistocerca serialis cubense, 2992 nucleotides long. It is a transcript of the gene named WD repeat-containing protein 82, with no coding region annotated. The record is from RefSeq and is a predicted model, not a curated record. The transcript is spliced from 4 exons. NCBI's taxonomy places the organism in Eukaryota, Metazoa, Arthropoda, Insecta, Orthoptera, Acrididae.